AGUGAACGCUGGCGGUAGGCCUAACACAUGCAAGUCGAACGGCAGCACAGUAAGAGCUUGCUCUUACGGGUGGCGAGUGGCGGACGGGUGAGGAAUACAUCGGAAUCUACUUUUUCGUGGGGGAUAACGUAGGGAAACUUACGCUAAUACCGCAUACGACCUACGGGUGAAAGCAGGGGAUCUUCGGACCUUGCGCGAUUGAAUGAGCCGAUGUCGGAUUAGCUAGUUGGCGGGGUAAAGGCCCACCAAGGCGACGAUCCGUAGCUGGUCUGAGAGGAUGAUCAGCCCCACUUGAACUGAGACACGGUCCAGACUCCUACGGGAGGCAGCAGUGGGGAAUAUUGGACAAUGGGCGCAAGCCUGAUCCAGCCAUACCGCGUGGGUGAAGAAGGCCUUCGGGUUGUAAAGCCCUUUUGUUGGGAAAGAAAAGCAGCAGGUUAAUACCCCGCUGUUCUGACGGUACCCAAAGAAUAAGCACCGGCUAACUUCGUG
RNAcentral lists this ribosomal RNA (492 nucleotides) under uncultured bacterium. Its description in RNAcentral is "partial 16S ribosomal RNA". It matches the Rfam family "Bacterial small subunit ribosomal RNA", at positions 29 to 507 of the family's 1533-position model. The record is from RNAcentral.